CCCCUUAGAUGUUCUGGGCCGCACGCGCGCUACACUGAUGCAUUCAACAAGCCUAGCCUUGACCGAGAGGUCCGGGUAAUCUUUGAAACUGCAUCGUGAUGGGGCUAGAUUAUUGCAAUUAUUAAUCUUCAACGAGGAAUGCCUAGUAAGCGUGAUUCAUCAAAUCGCGUUGAUUACGUCCCUGCCCUUUGUACACACCGCCCGUCGCUCCUACCGAUUGAAUGUGUUGGUGAGGAGCUCGGAUUGGCAGCAGUUGGUGGUUCGCCACCGGCUAUUGCUGAGAAGUCCUCCAAACCGCCCCAUUUAGAGGAAGGAGAAGUCGUAACA
RNAcentral lists this ribosomal RNA (327 nucleotides) under uncultured eukaryote. Its description in RNAcentral is "partial 18S ribosomal RNA". It matches the Rfam family "Eukaryotic small subunit ribosomal RNA", at positions 1469 to 1796 of the family's 1831-position model. The record is from RNAcentral.